RNAcentral lists this ribosomal RNA (549 nucleotides) under uncultured eukaryote. RNAcentral describes it as "bacterial SSU rRNA". It matches the Rfam family "Eukaryotic small subunit ribosomal RNA", at positions 21 to 549 of the family's 1831-position model. The record is from RNAcentral.
UAGUCAUACGCUUGUCUCAAAGAUUAAGCCAUGCAAAGCGCGCUGAAGCACGUACUACCGCGAAGCGCUGGACGGCUCAUUACAUCAGCUAUAGUCUACGUGAUAGCUUCCCCCCUUCUACACGGACAACCUUAGAAACCUAGAGCUAACACGCGCGACACACCCCCGCCGGGCGGCGACGCCUGCGCGGGGCGCACUUGUUAGAUCCCAAAGCCGAACCGCCGGAUUCACGUCCGGCGCCCGGUUGAGUCAUGACAAUUGAGCGGACCGCACGGCCGGCGACGGCGCGGCGGUGGUUCACACGAGUUUCUGCCCUAUCAGCUAGAUGGACAGGUAUUGGCUGCCCAUGGCGGUGACGGGUAACGAAGGGUUAGGGCUCGACUUCGGAGAGGACGCCUCAGACACCGCGACCAUAUCCAAGGAACGCAGCAGGCGCGAAACGUCUCCCAUCCCGCGUCGGGGAGAGCGUGACAAGAAAUGCCGAUGCGGCGCCGUCAAGGUGCCGCAGUCCGGAAUGAGGGCGACCCAAACCCACGCCCGAAAACCAGU